RNAcentral lists this ribosomal RNA (253 nucleotides) under uncultured bacterium. RNAcentral's name for it is "partial 16S ribosomal RNA". It matches the Rfam family "Bacterial small subunit ribosomal RNA", at positions 524 to 776 of the family's 1533-position model. The record is from RNAcentral.
UACGGAGGAUGCAAGCGUUAUCCGGAAUGAUUGGGCGUAAAGGGUCCGCAGGUGGCAAUGUAAGUCUGCUGUCAAAGAAUGAGGCUUAACCUCAUCAAGGCAGUGGAAACUACAUAGCUAGAGUACGGUCGGGGUAGAAGGAAUUCCUGGUGUAGCGGUGAAGUGCGUAGAGAUCAGGAAGAACACCGGUGGCGAAAGCGUUCUGCUAGACCUGUACUGACACUGAGGGACGAAAGCUAGGGGAGCGAACAGG